CCUACGGGAGGCAGCAGUGGGGAAUAUUGGACAAUGGGCGAAAGCCUGAUCCAGCCAUGCCGCGUGUGUGAAGAAGGCCUUCGGGUUGUAAAGCACUUUCAGUGGGGAAGAAAGCCUUGGGGCUAAUACCCUCGAGGAAGGACAUCACCCACAGAAGAAGCACCGGCUAACUCCGUGCCAGCAGCCGCGGUAAUACGGAGGGUGCGAGCGUUAAUCGGAAUUACUGGGCGUAAAGCGCGCGUAGGCGGUCUGAUAAGCCGGUUGUGAAAGCCCCGGGCUCAACCUGGGAACGGCAUCCGGAACUGUCAGGCUAGAGUGCAGGAGAGGAGGGUAGAAUUCCCGGUGUAGCGGUGAAAUGCGUAGAGAUCGGGAGGAAUACCAGUGGCGAAGGCGGUCUUCUGGACUGACACUGACGCUGAGGUGCGAAAGCGUGGGUAGCAAACAGGAUUAGAUACCCUGGUAGUC
This 465-nucleotide ribosomal RNA is filed under the name Vreelandella stevensii. RNAcentral's name for it is "partial 16S ribosomal RNA". It matches the Rfam family "Bacterial small subunit ribosomal RNA", at positions 338 to 795 of the family's 1533-position model. The record is from RNAcentral. Lineage: Bacteria; Pseudomonadati; Pseudomonadota; Gammaproteobacteria; Oceanospirillales; Halomonadaceae.